GUGAGGUAAAGGCUCACCAAGACCGUGAUGCAUAGCCGACCUGAGAGGGUAAUCGGCCACACUGGGACUGAGACACGGCCCAGACUCCUACGGGAGGCAGCAGUAGGGAAUCUUCCACAAUGGACGAAAGUCUGAUGGAGCAACGCCGCGUGAGUGAAGAAGGUUUUCGGAUCGUAAAACUCUGUUGUUGGAGAAGAAUGUAUCUGAUAGUAACUGAUCAGGUAGUGACGGUAUCCAACCAGAAAGCCACGGCUAACUACGUGCCAGCAGCCGCGGUAAUACGUAGGUGGCAAGCGUUGUCCGGAUUUAUUGGGCGUAAAGCGAGCGCAGGCGGUUUCUUAAGUCUGAUGUGAAAGCCUUCGGCUCAACCGAAGAAGUGCAUCGGAAACUGGGAAACUUGAGUGCAGAAGAGGACAGUGGAACUCCAUGUGUAGCGGUGAAAUGCGUAGAUAUAUGGAAG
This 460-nucleotide ribosomal RNA is filed under the name uncultured Bacilli bacterium. RNAcentral's name for it is "bacterial SSU rRNA". It matches the Rfam family "Bacterial small subunit ribosomal RNA", at positions 252 to 704 of the family's 1533-position model. Lineage: Bacteria; Bacillati; Bacillota; Bacilli. The record is from RNAcentral.